AUACGGAGGGUGCGAGCGUUAAUCGGAAUUACUGGGCGUAAAGCGCGCGUAGGCGGCUUGGUAAGUCGGAUGUGAAAGCCCCGGGCUCAACUUGGGAAUUGCAUUCGAAACUGCCGAGCUAGAGUAUGGGAGAGGGAAGUGGAAUUUCCGGUGUAGCGGUGAAAUGCGUAGAUAUCGGAAGGAACACCAGUGGCGAAGGCGACUUCCUGGCCCAAUACUGACGCUCAGGUGCGAAAGCGUGGGGAGCAAACAGGAUUAGAUACCCCAGUAGUCC
This 274-nucleotide ribosomal RNA is filed under the name uncultured bacterium. RNAcentral describes it as "partial 16S ribosomal RNA". It matches the Rfam family "Bacterial small subunit ribosomal RNA", at positions 523 to 796 of the family's 1533-position model. The record is from RNAcentral.